GGCCAGGCCAGGCGGCAAGGCAAGAGUCUGUAAAACUCUCACCAUGGGUUCAAAUCCCAUCGUCGCCU
Molecule: transfer RNA, 68 nt
Filed under: Anaerolineaceae bacterium
Lineage: Bacteria; Bacillati; Chloroflexota; Anaerolineae; Anaerolineales; Anaerolineaceae
Also listed under: 1 other name
Description: tRNA-Tyr
Rfam family: tRNA
About the family: Transfer RNA (tRNA) molecules are approximately 80 nucleotides in length. Their secondary structure includes four short double-helical elements and three loops (D, anti-codon, and T loops). Further hydrogen bonds mediate the characteristic L-shaped molecular structure. tRNAs have two regions of fundamental functional importance: the anti-codon, which is responsible for specific mRNA codon recognition, and the 3' end, to which the tRNAs corresponding amino acid is attached (by aminoacyl-tRNA synthetases). tRNAs cope with the degeneracy of the genetic code in two manners: having more than one tRNA (with a specific anti-codon) for a particular amino acid; and 'wobble' base-pairing, i.e. permitting non-standard base-pairing at the 3rd anti-codon position.
Source: RNAcentral